This 253-nucleotide ribosomal RNA is filed under the name uncultured bacterium. RNAcentral describes it as "partial 16S ribosomal RNA". It matches the Rfam family "Bacterial small subunit ribosomal RNA", at positions 524 to 776 of the family's 1533-position model. The record is from RNAcentral.
UACGUAGGGUGCGAGCGUUGUCCGGAUUUAUUGGGCGUAAAGAGCUCGUAGGCGGCUCGUCGCGUCGACCGUGAAAACCAGCAGCUUAACUGCUGGCUUGCGGUUGAUACGGGCGGGCUAGAGUUCGGUAGGGGAGACUGGAAUUCCUGGUGUAGCGGUGAAAUGCGCAGAUAUCAGGAGGAACACCGGUGGCGAAGGCGGGUCUCUGGGCCGAUACUGACGCUGAGGAGCGAAAGCGUGGGGAGCGAACAGG